GGCACAUGUUGCUAAGUAUGUUUAUUCAGCAAGUGUUGAUUGGCUGAAUAUUAGGAGCUAAAGUGUCUUAGGUGCUAGAGUUAUAAAAAUGAGUAAAGUAAGCAAUAUUCCUGCCCUCAGUGGGCCUACUCUAGACAGACCAAUAGUUACCCCUCCAAGUGCCAGCUGCUGUGGGAUAAUUCACAGAGCAACCCUUCCGAGGGCAGUGGGGUUGGGCCUGCAUCCAGCAAAUGCAAACAGAUGAUCCCUGGAUAAAAAAGGGAAAGCCUCUUCCAUGCCUCAGGAAGGAAGGCCAGGAGGACGCGUUUGCAUGCAGUGAUAUGUGUCGGUCUGACAGCAGUAAGCAGUGGUGUUCCUGGGUGAUGGCUUCUGGCUUUGAAUAGGCAGGCAUGGAGUUGCAGGGGUGUGUGGAUUAGUGAGGAAGUGCUUUCACUCAGAUGCCGCCUGACUAGACGGCCAGUAGGUAUUCAAUCUUGGUCUCGCUCUUCUUUCCCGUCCUGGUUUUAUGUUGCACUUUCCAGUUUCUCCAAAACAGAUCUUGCAUAUUUGAUAAUUAAUUCAGGGUGACAUGUGGGGAGAUGUUAGCUCCUCUCCUUUUCUAGACGACCUCUGCAAUGAAACGUCCGCUUUAGGCUAACAGAACUCUAACCCAAAGAAGAUUUGGGAGGAGAUCUUCGACCUUGACUGGGUGGGGGUGUGUAUUCUCAGAGACCAGUCGCUCUCGUUUGUGUGUGCCUCCCAGGGGUGUUCAUAGUUAAAUCUGUAUUUGGGCCUAAACCUAAUCUAUCUAAUGGAAAUUAAAUAAGCCAAAUUUUGGAAGGUGGCCUGAACUAUAUAACAGUGUGGAAAGGGAAAUUCUUGGAAUGCUAAGUGUACCAGUGUCAGAUUAAAAUAUCCCGUGGCAACUGUAACUUGUCAGGUCAGAGUAAUAGUGGUAAACAUUCUCAAAAUAGAUAUAGCCAAAAUGUGCAGAUGAGUCAUUAAAAAUAGUUCUUUUACAUUUAGAUUGUGUAAUUUUCUAAGGCAUAUUUUGGUUAGAGAAUUUUUUGUUAAUGUGGACUAAUAAUACUUGGGAAACAAAAUAAAUUGUGCUACUGUUACUUGAAGUACAUGCUAAUAUUUUGCAAGAAGCAUACUUUUUUGUUGUUUUUAAUCAUCUCAUUAAGACAUAAUGAUCUUUUUCCAGCUGAGGUGCCUAAUUACUGUCAUAUCCAAUAGUCUGUUAAUUGGUGAGAAUAAAGCAAAAAGCCACCAUGGACACAUCUCGACUCUAUUCUCAUUGCGUAGAAAUGGAACAGAUACAGAGUACGUGUUAAUUACAUUUGCAGCGCAUUGCCUGUAGUCUUUACUGAGCUCAGUUGCUUUUCUUUUUGUGCAAACAAUAGCAAAACCUUCUCAAACAUCUAUAUGGCUCUUUUUAUGCUAUAUCUCCUUUGAUGUUUUGAAUACAGUCUUGAGAUUUCAUUGAUCACAGUUCACAAAUCUAAAAUCGAUGAAUUGUAUUUGUAGAUUCAAAACUUGGUUUUCAAAGCUCAGAUGCAGGUCUUCUCCCAACAAGCUUUAGUGUCUAACCUUCCCUUCAUGUGCAUUUGUUUGGUGCAGACAAGAUUUCCCCUUCUGCUAUUAAACCAGAGGUCAUCCUUAAAAAUGUUCUUGGGUUUGAAAAUUUAUGUAUGUAUUUGACCUUUAUAUCUGUGAUAUAUAAAUACAAAUUUAAGGGCAUGAUUUAAAUAUAUUCAGGGUUCUAGAGAUUUUUAAAUUUUAUGCACACAUUAAGUAUGUGUAAAUUAACAUAUAUAAACCAUUUUAUAAGGACCAUUAAAAAA
This 1826-nucleotide long non-coding RNA is filed under the name Sus scrofa (pig). RNAcentral describes it as "lncRNA (ENSSSCG00055023463.1)". The record is from RNAcentral. Lineage: Eukaryota; Metazoa; Chordata; Mammalia; Artiodactyla; Suidae.